AAAAGAUGUAGUUAAAUUCUAUAACAUUAUCCCUGUCAAGGUAAAAUUACUUUCAUGUUAUCUUUUA
RNAcentral lists this transfer RNA (67 nucleotides) under Coleolaelaps cf. liui XFX-2019. Its description in RNAcentral is "tRNA-Asp". Lineage: Eukaryota; Metazoa; Arthropoda; Arachnida; Mesostigmata; Laelapidae. The record is from RNAcentral.